UUGGACAAUGGGCGCAAGCCUGAUGCAGCAAUGCCGCGUGCAGGAUGAAGGCCUUCGGGUUGUAAACUGCUUUUGUACGGAACGAAACGGCGAGCUCUAAUAAAGUUUGCUAAUGACGGUACCGUAAGAAUAAGCACCGGCUAACUACGUGCCAGCAGCCGCGGUAAUACGUAGGGUGCAAGCGUUAAUCGGAAUUACUGGGCGUAAAGCGUGCGCAGGCGGUUAUAUAAGACAGAUGUGAAAUCCCCGGGCUCAACCUGGGACCUGCAUUUGUGACUGUAUAGCUAGAGUACGGUAGAGGGGGAUGGAAUUCCGCGUGUAGCAGUGAAAUGCGUAGAUAUGCGGAGGAACACCGAUGGCGAAGGCAAUCCCCUGGACCUGUACUGACGCUCAUGCACGAAAGCGUGGGGAGCAAACAGGAUUAGAUACCCUGGUAGUCCACGCCCUAAACGAUGUCAACUGGUUGUUGGGUCUUCACUGACUCAGUAACGAAGCUAACGCGUGAAGUUGACCGCCUGGGGAGUACGGCCGCAAGGUUGAAACUCAAAUGAAUUGACGG
Molecule: ribosomal RNA, 559 nt
Filed under: uncultured prokaryote
Description: bacterial SSU rRNA
Rfam family: Bacterial small subunit ribosomal RNA
Source: RNAcentral